UACUGGGGUUCAGCACCCAUCAAAAAGGAGGAGCCAUUUGAUCCCGUCUGAUCUCGGAAGCUAAGCAGGGUCGGGCCUGGUUAGUACUUGGAUGGGAGACCACCUAGGAAGACCAGGUGCUGUAGGCA
Pteropus alecto (black flying fox) is the source of this 128-nucleotide non-coding RNA. The record is from Rfam. NCBI's taxonomy places the organism in Eukaryota, Metazoa, Chordata, Mammalia, Chiroptera, Pteropodidae.